GCGCCGCGGAGAGGAGGCCGAGCGGCCUCGGAGGGGCGAGAGCGGCUCGCCCGGCGGGGCCCUCUCCCUUGCCCGGCCCCUGUGCUGGACGGCCGUCGGCCGCCUGCGGAAGGCCCCGGCGCGGCCGCGGGGCUGGCGCGGCGGCCGCAGAGGAGAGUCGGGACCAAGGCCCUGCCGCGGCCUAAGCGCAGCCCAGGCGUCCAGUUUCCUGCUGGCGGCCGGGCCCCGCGCUGCCGCCCGCGACGGGGGGCUGAGGCAGCCGGGCCCGAGGGAGCGAGGCGCGGCGCGGGCCCUUCUCCUCCCCGGUCGGGCCUGCGGGGUCCCGCAGGGAGGAGGGAAGCGGCUCCGGGCGGCUCCGAGCCCCUCUGCCGGGCUAUUGUGCGCCAGGCUGAGGCGGCGGCCCGGCCCGGCUGCUGCGGAAGGCCGGCCGCGCGCGGGCCUGCGCUGCCUCGGCCGCGGGGCUGCCCCUUUGUGGGCUCGGCCUCGGCCUCGCCGCGCGGCGCGCUUUGUGCUCGCGCGAGCGGAGCGGGGCCCUGCGCCGGCUGCCGCCGCGGCGCGGAGAAGGUCAGCUGGGCCGCGGCGGCGGGGGGAGGCGGGGGCGGCCUGCCGCUCUGGGCCCCCAGCGGCGCCCCUCUCUGCGUGCGUCGCCGCGGGAAACAGGUUGCUGGAAGUAAAUGAGCCGCUGGGUGCCCCUCUGACGUUUCCUGGGAAGGCCGCUGUCUCCCUCUUCUCUAAUCCGGCUAGCACGGUGCAUUCCAGAGGGGAGGAAGAAUGGAAGUGACUCUUCUCAACCCUGAGUUAUUCAAGCUGGUCUUCAAGAGACUUGAGGUAUUGGCAUACAGGUAGACUAAUACAGAGGCUUUUAGGAUAAAAGUCAUCUGUUGCAGAAUAAAUCAACUAGUUCUACUUUUAUCAUUUGUUCUACACUGUAACAUUGAUGUAGAAUUUGAGUGCAAGAAACUGUAAUUGUGUUAACUUCCAUGGAAACUACUGUUCUUAAAUAGCUUUAGCACUUUUCACAGCAGUGAAAAAUUGUACAGGAAAGCACGAGGAUAAGAGUCAUCCAUCAGUGGUAUAGCUUUAGGAAUCUGUUGUGACCCAAGAAUUCUGAAACUGAUGAGAUGAUGAGCAUUUUUGUCCUGAAAGUGCACGUCAUCACAAAGUAUCUUGUCCUUUAUUAUUUCUGUUGGUAAGGUUUAAAUGCUAUAGUCUGAUUAGACUGUAUUGGAGGAGUUAGCUCAGAAAUUCAGUGGCUCCAGCUAAGUAGGUGUGAACUAAGGAAAGUACAUAUUUUAAAUAACACAAGUACUUUCCAUACUUAGAUUUGAGUAUAGUUGCUGCUGUCUGCUUAGUGUGAAUUGAGAAAGAGGUACUGCUCAUAUGUCAAAGAUACAUGCCUCUAAUGUGCCAGAGGGGGUAGCACGAGCAUGUUCAUGUACGAAGCAACUCUUUUUGGUCUGAAAACUCAAAGAAAUCAAGUAGGAUAAUUUGAUGAACUCUGGUCUUCACAUAAAACAUUCUGGAAGACUAUAUGUGCAGCUCCUGUGAGAAACAUGAUGUUCUUAAUUUUAAGUUAGAAUAGCUUUGCUUUAUUUUUCUGCUUGUAAUAAUGUUUGUAGUCUUGUAACUGUCAGCUUUAAAAGUUGGACUGUGCUUUGCGAACUAGAUUAUCAGUGGGUGUUUUGCUUUAAUGGUUGUCUCGUUUUCAGGAGCUAAGCUGAACCAGAACAGUCAAGGUAAAUCAAUAGCAUCUGAAAUUAUGGACACAUAUAAGGAACUCAGUUCUGCAGUUAUGUAUCCAGUCUGCAGAAAGCCAAAGUGAAAAUUGUGUUUCCAGCUUCUGACUGCAGCUACCUGAAUCCCUGGUUGGUGUUGUUAAGUGCUACCUGCAGAGAACAGUAGCAGUGAAGUAAGGAUACUGGCAAGCUCUAGUUCAUCUCAACCAUCACUUAUGGCCUAAAGCUUAGGAUCUCUUCUCUGAAGUUUACAGUCUUAAACAUCGUGAACAUUGCAGAUGCAGGAGAUAAUUUUUACUGGAUUUUUUCUCUUUUUGUUGCUUUGUUUUUUGAAGGACAGCAUUAAGGAAAGUGAAAACCAGUUGUGACUAAAAGAGAAUAGUAAAAGAUAUCCCUUUUGACUCUAACAGAAAAACACGACAGGUAGAGGCAUAUUGUUACCUUAAUAAAACAUUUUGUUUCAUUAAUAAGAAAACUUGUUGUAGGCAAUUUACUCUUUUUCAAAGUGUAUGUACUGUUCAUGUCUUAAAUGUACAAUAUCAUGAUAAAAAUGCAAUAUUAGUGUAUGUUUUCUGUGUACAACAUCACAUCAUGGACUAGAAGUCGAGAGAUACAUGUAAAUACUGUGUUGUUACCAUGAGGUGUUACUACAGGGUUACCUGAGUUUUUCCUGUUAAUACUUAAUUGCAUGUAACAAAAAUCUUCCCAAGUCAUUGACUUGGCGUUGUUUUAUACCAUGCUACAGUGUGUUUAGCUGUUAACCAUACUAGGUAAAGAAAGGAGAUUAAUGCCCCAUUAAUACUCUUUGGUUUUAUGCCACACUUCAUAUAUGUACUUAUUUUCUAGUUCUAAUCCAGACUACGUACUAUGUUUCUGUAAUGCCCAGGACAACUAUUUUAAAAUACCUGCCUGUCUGAGUUCAUCUAUAAAAUGGUGAUUCUUUGUGUUAUCACAGGAAUAAUGAGAUAUUUGGUUACUAAUUCCACAGUACUUUAAUCAGAUAAAGUGCUAGAUAAUUUCAGUUAACCAAAUGGUGCGCUUCUGAUUUUGACUCAUUUCUCUUUCUAGAACUGAAUACGGAAGCUGAGUUUGGCUGUGUUUUCAGUGGGGAAGUAAAAUAUUACUUGAAUGGUGAAGACAGUAUUUGUCCUUUUUCAUCUGGAAAUGCAUUUAAAAAAUUACUGUGGAUAUAUUCCUACAGGGAAUUGAUUUUAAAAGAGCAGUAAAUUCACAUACAGACAGUGGUUGUUGACCAUUUCCUUUUUUGUUUGCCUUAUCUAGAAACAGAUUUGUAUCUUUUCUUGUAACAAUUGAUGACCUUGCUGAGACAUGAAGAAAAACAAGGAGAGCGUAGUGAUAACUUCUGCUGCUUAAAGAGUUAGUCAUCAGCUCCUUUCAAGUGAAACAGCAGUUCUUUGAACUUUGGUUUGUGUGGCAUGAAGUCUUUAAAUUAAUAUUUUAAAGUUCUUUCCUACAGUUCUUGCAUAUAGUACUAAAUGGAGCAAAAAAUUCAUUUAGUCUUUCAUGAAAGACCACAGUGGCUUUUCAGUGUGUGGUUUUUUUUGAAUGCUGUCAAGGAGGAGCAUUUAGAAUGCCAUACUUCUUAAAGGGUUAUAUUCAAAUACAUGUUCAGAUUAAAUAUGUCAAAGGAAAACUACAUAUGAGGGAAAACUGUACAUUAAAUUUUGCUAAUGUACAGAUUGUCAAAAGGUUUUAACUGGAGUAGGAGUAUUUUAAAACAGUUCCAUGUUAAAUUACAGGAGGGAAAGCUUGGAAAUAAAUUCCUUUGCAUAAAAAUUGCUACAGCUGGUGCUAGAGCUUAGAAAUGUAGCUGUAUUAAAAAGCUUAUCUUUGUUGUUUCUGUUUACUCUGUAUUACAGAUGUUUCUUGAGGGAAGGUUCUAUGUCUUCUGUAUUUUGCAAGGGGAUGACAACUGAAAUAUUAGGUUUCUAAGUUCUGUCUUGUAAGUACGUGUUGCUUUAUGCUGAAAUGUGAUGUAGGUACUAGUUUGAAGUGGAUUUUAAAAGUUAGUUUUUCCUAUGAUUUUUCUAAAAUCAGCGUUAUUUCUAAAAUAUAUUGUUAGUUGCUGUUAACACAUCAGUGUUAGGAAAGAAGAAAUAACAGAUGUAGCACUGAACAAGCUGUAGCACAUCCAGGCUACAGUUCUGUAGUAGCUAAAGACAGUUUCUGUUCGGGAUGCCAGUGAUAACUUGCAGUGUUGCUGUCACCAACAUGAACGUGAAAUGGACUAGUUUUAGUCCCAAGUUUUCUGUGAGGAAUGGGUAAUUAUUAUCUGGUUCACUUCCCAGAGUAGUUUGCUGCAUGGUAACAUAAAAGCCAGUGCUGCUACAAGAGAUGUCAUCCUCUGUUGUCGUGGGUGUACUGGGGAUCAGUGUUAAGUGCUUACAGCUAAGAAAGGAUGGUCUCGCCCUCUAUUGCCAGCUCGGUUUUGGUGUUUUCCUUGUGUGCCAGUGUAAGCAGUCAUGUAGUUGUGCAAGACUGAUCUUGCUGAAUAUGUUACCUUAAAGAGAAAGAAAACUAAUGGGUGAAAGGCAGGCAGCACAACCAUUCCUUUUGGUGGCAGCUUGCUUUUGUUUGUUGUAGAGAUGGUGGAAUUGGACUCUGACACACUGUUGGUGUGUGCCCAGAGUCGUGGAGCCUGUAUCUGGUGGAUUGUUCUUUGUGCUAUAGAUGAACUAUUUUUUUUCUUUUAAGAAAUAUUGUAACUGAACAGUUCUUAAAAGUGCUAUUAAAAUAUUUAAGAACCUUUAAAAUAUGUAAUGUUGCUACUUGCUCUUUGAAAGAUAAUGACUAUAACUCAGUGUAUCAGAUUAGAACCAAGACCUUAAUACUGUCCUCAUAUCUGUGAAAAUGGACUCUGUGGGGUUUUUGGGGUGGUUUGGGUUUUUUGUUUGGUUGCUUUUUGUUUUGGUUUGGUUUUAAACCUUGCUAGUACCUGUCAUUUUUUUUGACCAGACAUAGGACUCAGAUUUUGCUACAGUUUUAUGAUCGGAUAUUUUAAUCUUCUUAAAUUGCCUAAUGUUGUUUUGGAAAUCAUGUUUGAAACAUGCUUUGAUAUGCAUUUGUGUGUUGACACAUAUAUCCCACUUUAAGGUGUACAUGAUAAACUUCUCACGUUUAACUAAAGCUACUUUUUAAAUUCAUGUAAACUUGUUCACUUUUGCCUAGAUAUGAGCCUUAAGUCUUGUUCCUUUCCUUCUUCUAAUGUACACGUGCAGUUGUCAUCUUGUAAAAGCUGUGAAAAUGCGCUGCUCAACUAAUCUUUUGAUUUCUGAAUGACUGAUUAUUUUGAAAUAUAUAUAUAUAUGCACAUAUAUAUGUGUUAUAUAUAAAAUCAUUAGAGUCACAAAGUGACUUUCAUUCACAGGAAUUUUUUGCCCUUUUUUGUGCAUGAAGGUGUCAACACAGUUGAGAGAUAAUUUGUGUAGGGUUUGUCUGUACAUGGCCAAUAUCUGUGUGAUUAUGCAAGUAUGUUAAGGAUGUAAUUUGAAGACUGGUUGCACAGGUGUGACUAGGGAAUAAUUUGGCUGGCAGAUGUUGAUGGUGUGCUAUAAAAUUUAGUCUGGCUUUGUGCUAGGUCAAAUAUAAUUGUUAGAAAGGAAGUUUUACAAAUAAAAACUACGCGUUCCAUAGUAGAAAUUGAAACAGGCAUUCUUCUAAAACAGCACCUGUAAAGCAGUAAUUUUAAGAGAACUUUUAUGCAUAUUAAAACCAGCUGCUGCCCUAAACAGCUUUAUUUUAAAAUCAGAUGUUACAUUUAAGGAAAAGUUGUUGUUCUUUGUACAAUCAUAAUUCUUCUAUGGAUGUACAGGUGCUCAUCUACUAAAGGAGUUGAGUGUGGGGAAGAAGAUUAUUUCAUGAAGGCUGUUUCUUAAUAUGCACAUGAGGAAGAAGACUUAGGGUUGCCUGUGAAACUUUAUUAUUUUCUAACUUUUGAAUGCUUGAUCUUCUAAUGUAAUAUAUUUUUGUAACACUCCUGUAAAAGAAAAAGACUGAAAAGUACUGAAGUUUACAGUUACGCUCUAGAUAGCGAGUCAUUGUUAGGAUUUGAUGUUUGAGAUUCAGCACUGCAACACAGACUCAAGUUUUGAUUUUACUAUGUAACAGGAAGGAGGACAAUAUUUUGCAGAGAAGAACAUAGUGAUAGGUAUUGAAUUUGGAAAGUGCUGAUAAAGAAAGCAUGGAAUAGCAGAAAGAUACAUCUACUCUUGUAAUUUCCAAACCAUCUAGAAUAUCUUGUGUUUUAUUUUCUGAUGCAGACUCAGGGCUGACUUCAGAAUGAUUAUGGUUGAAUUUUAAUUUUGUAUGCCAUGAAGCAUUAUCCAAGCAAUACAAAUAAGUGAAAUAGUGAGUGCAUUUUACUUAGCAUUUAAGAUAUACCUGAUCAGAAUUUAAUGGCAAUAAAAGAACAUAUAACUCUCUUGCCCGAGAGCUCUUUUUUUCUGCUGAAUUUCUUGCUUCAAAAGCUGACUAGUUGGAUCUUCACAAAGAAAGCUGAGGGAAUUUUUUUGGUAACACAAGGAUCCCUCUAAAGAAACGUUUAUUUGCUUUCUAUAAAAUGUCAGUACAGAGUUGAUGGCUCAGAAGGUGGCCUUCUGAUUAGAUACAAUAGAAUUAGUGAGGAGGGUGUUGCCAAUGUCUCCCUAAUUUGUUUCUUUGCUAUACAAAAUAUUGGAAUGAAUAGAGGGCAGUUAUCCAUAUGUGAGCAGGAGUUGGAAAGUAAACAGUUAUCGAAGUUUGACUAUUGCUGACUGUAAAAACUGAGAUGUUAAGUAAUUUAACAGUGUUCUUUAGUGUAUAAUGCUAUUUAGUUAUUACUAACCUGAAGUAAAUUUGAAUAGGGUCUGCAGAGUUAGUUUAGUAUCCUUAUCAAGUUAACUCAGUCCCUUUUGCAUUAAUGUCUGAUACUUGCAGCUACUUAUGGUAUUUUAAAACCUGUAAAAGACGGGGAAGUACUUGCCUGUGGUGACUCAGAAACUUGUGACAGAGCAGGAACUAAACCCAAGUCUCCCAUG
Molecule: RNA transcript, 6772 nt
Organism: Grus americana (Whooping crane)
Lineage: Eukaryota; Metazoa; Chordata; Aves; Gruiformes; Gruidae
Gene: SIAH1
Gene name: siah E3 ubiquitin protein ligase 1
Exons: 2
Source: RefSeq, a predicted model, not a curated record